Molecule: ribosomal RNA, 431 nt
Filed under: uncultured bacterium
Lineage: Bacteria
Description: partial 16S ribosomal RNA
Rfam family: Bacterial small subunit ribosomal RNA
Source: RNAcentral
AACGAACGCUGGCGGCAGGCUUAACACAUGCAAGUCGAACGCCCCGCAAGGGGAGUGGCAGCCGGGUGAGGAACGCGUGGGAACAUACCCUUUUCUACGGAAUAGCUCUGGGAAACUGGAAUUAAUACCGUAUACGCCCUACGGGGGAAAGAUUUAUCGGGGAAGGAUUGGCCCGCGUUGGAUUAGCUAGUUGGUGGGGUAAAGGCCUACCAAGGCGACGAUCCAUAGCUGGUCUGAGAGGAUGAUCAGCCACAUUGGGACUGAGACACGGCCCAAACUCCUACGGGAGGCAGCAGUGGGGAAUAUUGGACAAUGGGCGCAAGCCUGAUCCAGCCAUGCCGCGUGAGUGAUGAAGGCCUUAGGGUUGUAAAGCUCUUUCACCGAUGAAGAUAAUGACGGUAGUCGGAGAAGAAGCCCCGGCUAACUUCGUG